Molecule: transfer RNA, 363 nt
Filed under: uncultured Microcystis sp.
Lineage: Bacteria; Bacillati; Cyanobacteriota; Cyanophyceae; Chroococcales; Microcystaceae
Description: partial 16S-23S ribosomal RNA intergenic spacer
Rfam family: tRNA (bases 134-207)
Source: RNAcentral
AAAGGGAGACCUAAUUCAGGUAGGAGACGAAAAAAAAGUAGUCCCAACCAAGAAUCAAUCCCAAAAGGUCGGAGCGAGGUAUGAGGCUUUCAAACUAGGUUCUGGGUUCAUAAAAGACCUGAAUCAGGAACAAGGGCUAUUAGCUCAGGUGGUUAGAGCGCACCCCUGAUAAGGGUGAGGUCCCUGGUUCGAGUCCAGGAUGGCCCACCUGCACAGGUGGCAAAAACAAAGAAUAAAAGCUCCGAAUCAGCACCUUAUCUUACUUAUACAGUAAGAGAGAAUGCUGGCUCCGAGUUCAGAGUCCAGAGGAACCUUGAAAACUGCAUAGAGCUAGGUGAAAAAGCCAAAAAAGAAGACCGCAAG